UACGUAGGUGGCAAGCGUUGUCCGGAUUUACUGGGCGUAAAGGGCGUGCAGGCGGUCUGUUAAGUGCAGGGUGAAAGCUCCCGGCUCAACUGGGAGAGGUCCUUGCAUGCUGGCGGACUUGAGGGGGGUAGAGGAAAGUGGAAUUCCCGGUGUAGUGGUGAUAUGCGUAGAUAUCGGGAGGAACACCUGUGGCGAAGGCGGCUUUCUGGGCCCUACCUGACGCUGAGACGCGAAAGCGUGGGGAGCGAACCGGG
RNAcentral lists this ribosomal RNA (254 nucleotides) under uncultured bacterium. Its description in RNAcentral is "partial 16S ribosomal RNA". It matches the Rfam family "Bacterial small subunit ribosomal RNA", at positions 524 to 777 of the family's 1533-position model. The record is from RNAcentral.